CAGUCGCCGCGGGAAUACGAAGGGUGCAAGCGUUACUCGGAAUUACUGGGCGUAAAGCGUGCGUAGGUGGUGGUUUAAGUCCGUUGUGAAAGCCCUGGGCUCAACCUGGGAAUUGCAGUGGAUACUGGAUCACUAGAGUGUGGUAGAGGAUAGUGGAAUUUCCGGUGUAGCGGUGAAAUGCGUAGAGAUCGGAAGGAACAUCUGUGGCGAAGGCGACUAUCUGGGCCAACACUGACACUGAGGCACGAAAGCGUGGGGAGCAAACAGGAUUAGAUACCCUCGUAGUCCCUGUCUCUUAUAC
RNAcentral lists this ribosomal RNA (301 nucleotides) under uncultured bacterium. RNAcentral describes it as "partial 16S ribosomal RNA". It matches the Rfam family "Bacterial small subunit ribosomal RNA", at positions 509 to 807 of the family's 1533-position model. The record is from RNAcentral.